Molecule: long non-coding RNA, 261 nt
Filed under: Zonotrichia albicollis (white-throated sparrow)
Lineage: Eukaryota; Metazoa; Chordata; Aves; Passeriformes; Passerellidae
Description: lncRNA (ENSZALG00000018181.1)
Source: RNAcentral
GUCCAAGGAAAGCUGCAGAAGUGGAUGCACUGCUUGUUAUUUCAGAGGCAGGAAAUCCCUCUGUUCCCGAUGGCCAAAGGACAGGGCAGCAGAAGGAGGCAAAAUGGAGCAGCAUCCACCUCUGACUUGGAGCACCCACCCCUGACUUGGAGCACCCAUGAUCAGGACCUCUGGAUGAACGAACUUGAGCAACCUUAAGCUCCUGGUGCAAUGAGGUUUUUUGGGAGUGUCAUUACUGAAACUGCAGAAGAUAUUUAGAAG